GCCCACGCAUUGAGCGCAGAGCGAACUAUUCUUUCGCCUUUUACUAAAGAUUUACCGUGUGCGCGGCGCUUUAAGUGGCAUACGUCUAUUUUUGGAAGGGUGCACCUCUGCAGGUGCC
RNAcentral lists this small nuclear RNA (118 nucleotides) under Rosa chinensis. RNAcentral's name for it is "sRNA RchiOBHm_Chr5g0040631". It matches the Rfam family "U5 spliceosomal RNA". Rfam says of the family: U5 RNA is a component of both types of known spliceosome. The precise function of this molecule is unknown, though it is known that the 5' loop is required for splice site selection and p220 binding, and that both the 3' stem-loop and the Sm site are important for Sm protein binding and cap methylation. Lineage: Eukaryota; Viridiplantae; Streptophyta; Magnoliopsida; Rosales; Rosaceae. The record is from Rfam by way of RNAcentral.